This is a long non-coding RNA of Suricata suricatta (meerkat), 1318 nucleotides long. RefSeq lists it as uncharacterized. The record is from RefSeq and is a predicted model, not a curated record. Lineage: Eukaryota; Metazoa; Chordata; Mammalia; Carnivora; Herpestidae. The transcript is spliced from 5 exons.
CCUCAGAUCAAGAAUGAAAACAAUUAUAUUUCCAUACAGUUACCGAAAGGAGUCUAAACAUUGUGAUGUAGCAAUAGGCAUGCUGCUUUAUGCAUCCGACGACACAGUUUGUGUCUGGCAUAUAUUCAAAAUCUUGAGGAGUGUGUAGAUAUCUGCAAAAUGUUAACAGAUAUAAAAAUAUCGGAGGUGUCUGUUGUUGAGACAGUGACCGCCACCGCUAAAGCUACAGACCUUCCUUGCCGAGACAGGCUGAACGUUUGAAGGAAGGCAGCCGUCCCUACGCCGAACGAGAAACAGGUUCUCACCGGGAACUAAAAGUGCCUGCACCUUGACCUUGGACGUCCCAGCCUCCAGAAUGUUGGAACCCAACUGCAAUGGCGCCCCAGCCUGGACCACCCUGCUGAUGCCAAUUCCCGACAACGGCCAAGCGACACGAGAAGGGAAGAUGGAAUCCUGAAUGGCCAUAUGGGGGGAGCUGCCUUGCCAAACGAAACUAUUAUCACUGAAACUGUUCUUUCAGAGACUGGGUGGCCCAUAAAAAACCAGCAUCCAUUUCUCACAGUUCCAGAGGCGGCAAGUUCAAGAUCAUGGCUCUGGCAGAUUAGGUGUCUGCAAGCUGCCGUGUGCGAGACUGAGUGCAGCCUUCAACUGACAGCACCGGGGAGGAGAAACGGAACCCUGAAAACAGCCACGUAAGCUUGAGCUUGGAAGUGGAUCCUAACCCCAGGAGAGACCUGUGGCCCUCACCGACACCCAGUCCGUAGCUUUUGAGGGAUGCUGAGCAGAGAACCCAGCCAAGUGGAGGUUCUCCUGAUCAGAAGAGACGAUGCUGAAGGGGACAUGGUGUUGCUGGGACAUCACUGAGCCCUGACAAUCAAGUUAAAAGGACAUAUAAAUAUUCCCAUCUCACUGAGGAAGAGGCAGAGAUCAGAGAAGCAACUUCGAACCAAGUGUCCAAGUCCGUGCUGAGCAAUCAUCUUCAAGGGCCCUGAGCCACCAGCCUUGUAAGAAGCCUGGCCAAAUUGCAGCCGCCAUAUUGAAGAGACCACACAGAGACAGAGAUCACUGAGCAGCCCAGCUGGCAGCUGUUGAGUCUCCCAGCCUGGGCAAGGACCUAUGAGGGAGGGAGUUUUGAGUCGAGUCCUCCCGUGGGCACUGACUGUAAUGGUGUGAGAGACCCAGCACCAGAGCCACUUAACUGAGCCCAGUUGACCCUCGAGCCUGCCACACAUAAGAGUAUAUGAUUGUGGGGCGCCUGGGUGGCUCUGUCAGUUAACCAUCCAAUUCCUCAUUUCAGCUCAGGUCAUGAUCUCAUGGU